UACGUAGGGUGCAGGCGUUAAUCGGAAUUACUGGGCGUAAAGCGUGCGCAGGCGGUUUUGUAAGUCUGUCGUGAAAUCCCCGGGCUCAACCUGGGAAUUGCGAUGGAGACUGCAAGGCUAGAAUCUGGCAGAGGGGGGUAGAAUUCCACGUGUAGCAGUGAAAUGCGUAGAGAUGUGGAGGAAUACCGAUGGCGAAGGCAGCCCCCUGGGCCAAUACUGACGCUCAUGCACGAAAGCGUGGGGAGCAACAGG
RNAcentral lists this ribosomal RNA (252 nucleotides) under uncultured bacterium. RNAcentral describes it as "partial 16S ribosomal RNA". It matches the Rfam family "Bacterial small subunit ribosomal RNA", at positions 524 to 775 of the family's 1533-position model. The record is from RNAcentral.